This 207-nucleotide unclassified non-coding RNA is filed under the name Hevea brasiliensis (rubber tree). Lineage: Eukaryota; Viridiplantae; Streptophyta; Magnoliopsida; Malpighiales; Euphorbiaceae. The record is from RNAcentral.
GCUCUGUUGGCAGCUAAGCCACCAUCUGAUAGGAAGAAAUGUUUUGCCCCCAAGGUUGCUGCUGCCAUUUGUGGCCCUGCACCUCAAUCCGAGUCCUUCAGAAGUCCUGCUCUCAUCUCUCCAACAAAGGCCUCAACCAUGGGGCCUGCCUCUGCCCCAUCACAACAGCAGGGCAGAACUAAGGGUCCUUGCACAGCUGUCUCAGUA